UAGAAAUUAUACUAGUUAUAAACUGAACUAUCCUAAAAUGAAUUACAAAAUAGUUUUUAUCCAAAAUAUUUAAAAUUAUCUGAAUUACCAUAACAAAUCAAAAUUUUCAAAUAUUUCUGGAAUAUUUAGACUUAUUUAAAUUACCGAUAUUUUUAACUGAAAAUCAGACAUUUGCCAAAUUUUCUGAACUUAUCUGUAAAACUGAAACCGAACCAGAACCGAAUUACACCAAAAUUUAUUGGAUAUUAGUUGGUUCCUAAUAUUUUUUUCCAAACUGAAACAAAACCCAAAGCAACUGAACCGAAACGUAACCAAAUUUCAUAAAUAACCAUGUUUUAAAAACC
RNAcentral lists this long non-coding RNA (344 nucleotides) under Brassica napus (rape). Its description in RNAcentral is "long non-coding RNA (BNAP_LNC017436)". The record is from RNAcentral. Lineage: Eukaryota; Viridiplantae; Streptophyta; Magnoliopsida; Brassicales; Brassicaceae.